This 620-nucleotide ribosomal RNA is filed under the name uncultured bacterium. RNAcentral's name for it is "bacterial SSU rRNA". The stretch from base 1 to 518 matches the Rfam family "Bacterial small subunit ribosomal RNA", at positions 338 to 873 of the family's 1533-position model. The record is from RNAcentral.
CCUACGGGAGGCAGCAGUGGGGAAUAUUGGACAAUGGGCGAAAGCCUGAUCCAGCAAUGCCGCGUGAGUGAUGAAGGCCUUAGGGUUGUAAAGCUCUUUUACCAGGGAUGAUAAUGACAGUACCUGGAGAAUAAGCUCCGGCUAACUCCGUGCCAGCAGCCGCGGUAAUACGGAGGGAGCUAGCGUUGUUCGGAAUUACUGGGCGUAAAGAGUACGUAGGCGGUGAUUCAAGUCAGAGGUGAAAGCCUGGAGCUCAACUCCAGAACUGCCUUUGAAACUAGAUCGCUAGAAUCAUGGAGAGGUUAGUGGAAUUCCGAGUGUAGAGGUGAAAUUCGUAGAUAUUCGGAAGAACACCAGUGGCGAAGGCGACUAACUGGACAUGUAUUGACGCUGAGGUACGAAAGCGUGGGGAGCAAACAGGAUUAGAUACCCUGGUAGUCCACGCCGUAAACGAUGAUAACUAGCUGUUCGGGGUCUACGAUCCUGAGUGGCGCAGCUACGACAUUAAGUUAAUUACCGUCCGUCGGGGAGGUACGGUCGGCGAAGAAUUAAAACUAACAAAGGAAAGUUAGUACGGACGUGAGACGUAGCCGAACGGACGACCGACGAGGGAGGUUAGG